This 373-nucleotide unclassified non-coding RNA is filed under the name uncultured bacterium. RNAcentral describes it as "contains 16S-23S intergenic spacer region". The record is from RNAcentral.
UCCGGCUUGACGCCGGCAGUCUCUCCAGAGUUCCCAACUAAAUGAUGGCAACUGGAAACAGGGGUCGCGCUCGUUGCCGGACUUAACCGAACAUCUCACGACACGAGCUGACGACAGCCAUGCACCACCUGUGCGGGCUCCGAGGAGCGCCGUAUCUCUACGGUUUCACCCCGCAUGUCAAGCCCAGGUAAGGUUCUUCGCGUUGCUUCGAAUUAAGCCACAUGCUCCACCGCUUGUGCGGGCCCCCGUCAAUUUCUUUGAGUUUUAAUCUUGCGACCGUACUCCCCAGGCGGCACGUUUAACGCGUUAGCUCCGGCGCAGAAGGGGUCGAAUCCCCCCACACCAAACGUGCACCGUUUACUGCCAGGACUAC